Lonchura striata (white-rumped munia) is the source of this 2925-nucleotide non-coding RNA. The record is from RefSeq and is a predicted model, not a curated record. Lineage: Eukaryota; Metazoa; Chordata; Aves; Passeriformes; Estrildidae.
CGCGGCCGUGGAGAGGGAUGCGGGAUCUCUGCGCUCAGCCCCUGGAAAGGGAGAUUCCGUGAGGGGUUGGGGUCGCGGGGGGCGAGCUGCAGCGAUUAAUCAGUGUGCACUUCGGACGGGAGGGAGUGCGGGAGAGACGCUGCUGACCUCGGUGGAGCCGGUGUUGGGGUGUGCGGUGGGGUGCACAGCAGCCUCAUUCCCCCUCUCCUCGAUGCCUUUGGAUGUGUCUGAUGAUGCUGUGAGCGAGGAGGAGACAUGUUUUGCUUCCAGGUGAAUGUUUUCUUCUGGCACACAGGAGCUUGCUGGAAAAUCCUCGGGGAAAUGCUGUGUUGUGAGAUGAGAGGAAGGGCCCUAAGUGAGUUGGCAGGGUUGGAAGUUGCCUUGUCACUUGCCUGAGCAGAGAUGGUUGUUUUGAUAGCCAAGUCCACACACACUUGUGGCCUUGGUUUGAAAGAUCUGGGGAGGCUGGCAGCUUUCCUUUCUUUCCAGCAGCCUUUCCUGUGACAGGUGAGCAGUGAAGCUCAAAAAACUAUGGAACAUUGGAUCUGCUUUUGUAAAGUCUGUUGGUUUGCCCUCUUCCAUCUUAAGAAAACUAAAGGAUGACAGUUGAAAGUUGGACUAAGAGCUCAUUUGGGUUACCAUUGUGACUGAGAGGCAUGACAAAUGCUUAGGAGAGGCAGGGAUCAGAAACCUUCAAAUAUUUAAAACAUAAGUCUGUGCUGUUACUGAAAAAACUAUCUUUUUUUUUUUUUUUUCCUUUUUUUUCCCUCUUGCUCUCUGCAUUCAGUAAGGUCCUGGGAAGUAAAUUCAAGGAGAGGACUGAAGGAAUGUUGUCGGUCAAAGCCUUCACCAGUUUAUGAGACAGCAGAAUGCAAUGACUAAGUUGGAUUGUGGGAAAAUGAAACUGCACCCUCUGUUUAUAGAUGUAGCCGCUACAGUGGCUCAAAAUAAAAAUGCUCCUCAUGAGCAUAACUUCAGGUUUUGGCCAGGAAUGGGUGGUAAAACAGAGGAAAUCUGGUAGAAUUUGAGGAGAACUUUGUUUUUAAAAGAGCAGGAUAAAGGCUUGGUCUUAUUAUUAACUAUAGAGAUGAAAAACAUGUUUAAAUUUCCAUGUACACUUUUUAGAAAAUUACUAAGAAAGUACUGUUGGAAAUACUAAAAAUCAAAAAACUUAGUAAAGAGAAGUUCAGCUUUGAGCUUUCAGUUACAAACUGAGUCUUAAAAUCAGAAAACGCUUUGAAAUGUGCCAUGCUGAGGAGGUGCCUCACAAGUGUGUGCUUUGAAGUUCUCGGUCAGACUUUUUGGAAUGCACAAAUUUUAGCUAAGUGUGCUGGUUUCGUAGAUUAUUUUCCUCAGACCUUGAAACAUGUUUCAUGGAGUUUGGGAAAGAUUACUUUUAGUCUUUGGACCAUGUGUGUGUUUCUCAGAGGUAGGCAGGCUUGUUUACUUGGAUUUCUGCCCUAUGGUGUGACAAGGCCAAAAAUCGUGUAGUUGCGAUAGGCGCAGGAAACGCGUUGCUCCGAAGCUGUGUUCUGGUUCUGUAAAAUUGUUUUUGUGUUCCUAUCAGUUUCUCCUCGUACUCUCAGUACCCAGUUAAUCUGGAGAGACUUGAUGAUACUAUGCAAGGUAGAAUUCUGAUAAGUUUAACUUAGAGCUGUCGUUGAUAGGAAUGUUUAAACCAACCUCCAGUGAGAGUUUGAAGCAACAUACUUCCCAAUAAUAAAUUAUCCUUGCUAACUGGCUUUUUGCACAAGCAACUGUUUUUUUUUUUUUCCUAGUAAAUCUCACAGUUGAAUUUUAAACUUGCCUUCAGUGGUGUGACUCCGGUUUUGGUGUGGUUGUGUUUUAAAACAUUGGCCAAGUGAGUAUUUUGGAUGAGUGAAAAUUAUACUUGAAGCUAUUAUCUUGCUUGCCAAAGCACUGGGAGAAGACUGUCAGGUACCCUGACUGACUAAAGAUGAAAAGAUUUAGCCUCAGGCCCUAUUAUUGGGGAAGGCCUGUUAUCAAAUUAAAUUUUUGGAAGCCUGUUUUUCCUUAAGUUUUGUGAUGUGCCCAUCAAGCUCCACACCUGGCUGGAUUUACCUCUUGAGGUCAUUCUGGUGUUCCAAGUGGGGGGCCGCUCAAGGCUUGAGCAUUUAGACUUAACCAGGGUAAAUGAAAGCAUGUAUCCAUCUGCACAAGCUACUGCUUCUUUUUGUUGGCUCUCUGUGAGAAAGUAAAUCUGUUAAACAUUGUGUGAGGAGCAAAUAAUGAGCGCGGUCUGACACUGAUGCAGAGCUGUGUAGCCACAUCUCUUGUCCGAGGUGACACUGUAGGCUUCUAAAUGUGGCACUUCUGUUGUAGUUAUCACUUUGUAGGCCCGAAGCAGGGUUUUAAAAAUCUUCAACAAACAUUCUUGACUUUGAAAGUGAAACACCAGGCGAAAGUUGAGUCUGUCCUGUUUUGUUUUCAGCUCCCUCUGCGCUGUUAACCUAAAAACCUGAUUGUCAGAAUGCAGAGGAGUGCAAGGAAUAUUCAGGAUGUCAGCAGUCUUUUGGCUGCAGUCUCUGUGUCACAUAAUAUGGGCUUUCACAUUUCGCUGUUCCACCACAGCACUUGAACACCCAGGAAAAGCCAGCUUGUUUAACACCAUGUCAGCAGAACAUGUUAGUUGUGGAAGUUUGAGCUUCUGCUGUGUUCUGGUGCGUCCUUAGUGUGUGUAUGCUUUUUGUGGCGAUUUCUGUAUGCGAAGCUUACUGUGUCAGAAGAAUUAACUUUGUAACAGUUCUGGAAGAAUCAGGGACUGCUGCUGACUGAAAUGGUGAAAGCUGACUCCCGGGUCUGUAACUUGUGAAUGGGUAUGAACCUACUCUUGAAAAAUCUCCUUCCUACAUGUGUUUGAGUGUAUUUCCCUUGGAGUGUGUCAUUUUAUGGUUAGAGGAAAAG